This 774-nucleotide ribosomal RNA is filed under the name uncultured Neocallimastigales. RNAcentral's name for it is "partial large subunit ribosomal RNA". It matches the Rfam family "Eukaryotic large subunit ribosomal RNA", at positions 22 to 634 of the family's 3401-position model. Lineage: Eukaryota; Fungi; Neocallimastigomycota; Neocallimastigomycetes; Neocallimastigales. The record is from RNAcentral.
GUACACGCUGUGACUAGCAUAUCAAUAAGCGGAGGAAAAGAAACUAACUAGGAUUCCCUCAGUAACGGCGAGUGAAGCGGGAAGAGCUCAAAUUUGAAAUCUUCAAGGUUCUACCUUGACGAAUUGUAGUUUAAAGAAGUGUUUUCUGUUGGAGUUUUGGUAAAAGUUCUUUGGAAUAGGACAUCAUAGAGGGUGAGAAUCCCGUAUUUGACCAUUAUUUCCAGCUUUGUGAUACACUUUCAAAGAGUCGGAUUGUUUGGGAAUGCAGUCCAAAAUGGGUGGUAAAUUUCAUCUAAAGCUAAAUAUUGGCGAGAGACCGAUAGCGAACAAGUACCGUGAGGGAAAGAUGAAAAGAACUUUGAAAAGAGAGUUAAACAGUACGUGAAAUUGUCAAAAGGGAAGCGUUUGACACCAGUGUUGUUUUCUCGAAAAUCAAUUAAAAAGAGUUGGAUUUUGUGUUGUAUUGACCUUAACAGCUUUCUUCACUCUUUUCCUGCUUUUUUUAAUGCACUUUUCGUUUAACAAGUCAACAUCAAUUUCUUUUGUUGUAAAAGGGUCAUUGGAAGGUGGCUUUCUUUUCGGAGAAAGUGUUUAUAGCCUUUGGCCUCUGCAAUCGGAGAGAUUGAGGUCUGCAGCGUAGAUCCUUCGGGGUUAGAUACAUUUGUGCUAAGUUAUAGCCUUUCAUAGACAACUUGUUGACUAUGAUCAGUCAUGUAGCUUACUCGCUUAUGCUAUUUUACCUACGCUUAGGAUGUUGAAGACUCUACAGAGAUA